Molecule: ribosomal RNA, 421 nt
Filed under: uncultured bacterium
Lineage: Bacteria
Description: partial 16S ribosomal RNA
Rfam family: Bacterial small subunit ribosomal RNA
Source: RNAcentral
GAUAUGGGACAAGGGGGGCAACCCUGCUCCAGCCAGGCCGCGUGUGUGAAGAAGGACUUCGGUUUGUAAAUCACGUUAAGUUGGGAGGAAGGGCUUUAGGUUAAUACCCUGAAGUUUUGACGUUACCAACAGAAUAAGCACCGGCUAACUCUGUGCCAGCAGCCGCGGUAAUACAGAGGGUGCAAGCGUUAAUCGGAAUUACUGGGCGUAAAGCGCGCGUAGGUGGUUCAGUAAGAUGGGUGUGAAAUCCCCGGGCGUAACCUGGGAACUGCUUUCAUAACUGCUGAGCUAGAGUACGGUAGAGGGUAGUGGAAUUUCCUGUGUAGCGGUGAAAUGCGUAGAUAUAGGAAGGAACACCAGUGGCGAAGGCGACUACCUGGACUGAUACUGACACUGAGGUGCGAAAGCGUGGGGAGCAAAC